CGGCACGGGUGAGUAACACGUAUCCAACCUGCCGUCUACUCUUGGACAGCCUUCUGAAAGGAAGAUUAAUACAAGAUGGCAUCAUGAGUCCGCAUGUUCACAUGAUUAAAGGUAUUCCGGUAGACGAUGGGGAUGCGUUCCAUUAGAUAGUAGGCGGGGUAACGGCCCACCUAGUCUUCGAUGGAUAGGGGUUCUGAGAGGAAGGUCCCCCACAUUGGAACUGAGACACGGUCCAA
This 236-nucleotide ribosomal RNA is filed under the name uncultured bacterium. Its description in RNAcentral is "partial 16S ribosomal RNA". It matches the Rfam family "Bacterial small subunit ribosomal RNA", at positions 100 to 334 of the family's 1533-position model. The record is from RNAcentral.